This 253-nucleotide ribosomal RNA is filed under the name uncultured bacterium. RNAcentral's name for it is "partial 16S ribosomal RNA". It matches the Rfam family "Bacterial small subunit ribosomal RNA", at positions 524 to 776 of the family's 1533-position model. The record is from RNAcentral.
UACAGAGGUCCCAAGCGUUGUUCGGAUUCACUGGGCGUAAAGGGUGCGUAGGUGGCGGAGCAAGUCGGACGUGAAAGCUCGGAGCUCAACUCCGAAAUGGCGUUGGAAACUGCUUUGCUUGAGGGUUGGAGGGGGGACUGGAAUGCUUGGUGUAGCAGUGAAAUGCGUAGAUAUCAAGCGGAACACCAGUGGCGAAGGCGAGUCCCUGGACAACACCUGACACUGAGGCACGAAAGCUAGGGGAGCAAACAGG